This 72-nucleotide transfer RNA is filed under the name Ovis aries (sheep). It matches the Rfam family "tRNA". Rfam says of the family: Transfer RNA (tRNA) molecules are approximately 80 nucleotides in length. Their secondary structure includes four short double-helical elements and three loops (D, anti-codon, and T loops). Lineage: Eukaryota; Metazoa; Chordata; Mammalia; Artiodactyla; Bovidae. The record is from Rfam by way of RNAcentral.
UCCCUGGUGGCUCAGUCGGUAAAGAGUCUGCCUGCAAUGCAGGAGCCCUGAGUUCCAUCCUUGGUCAGGGAA